This is a long non-coding RNA of Parasteatoda tepidariorum (common house spider), 515 nucleotides long. RefSeq lists it as uncharacterized. NCBI's taxonomy places the organism in Eukaryota, Metazoa, Arthropoda, Arachnida, Araneae, Theridiidae. The record is from RefSeq and is a predicted model, not a curated record.
GGUAAAGUUGUUAAGCUGUUUCCAAUGUCACAAUUUUCAUCUUUACAUUUGUCGGCCGAACUUUGCAGUGGUUGCAUACAUUUUGGACUGGAAAAAAAAGGAAGCAAAUUAUCUAAUAGGGCUGACCGUUUUUGUUAUUUGAAUUUCAUAAUGAAAAAAAGAAUUCUUGAAUAAAUCUAUGCUGCUUUUGAAAGAAAUGUUCCAUCAACCUAUUCAAGAAGUGAAAGUGCCUGAUCUGAAUCAUAUAGAUAAAGGAAAUUUCUCAAAUUCAAUAUCAACGUCUAGGAGAAAAUUUGAGGCAGAGAUUUAGAAUAGAGUACUUUGGUCAAGUGCUGCUCAAACAAUCUUUGAAACUUCCAGAGAAAUCCAAACAAAUUGGUAAUGAAAUUAUGCAGAAAUCUUACAUCAAUAUGUUGAACUUAGGAUGUGAUUGGUCAAACACUGAUAACUGAAAUUUCUUAACUUCUCUUCCAUCUUUAGUUUUAACAUUUUGCACUGUUCCAAUCUGAAAAACG